UGGGGAAUCUUCCGCAAUGGGCGAAAGCCUGACGGAGCAAUGCCGCGUGAGUGAAGAAGGCCUUCGGGUUGUAAACUCUGUCCUUAUCGAAGAGAGGGUAUGGUGUGAAUAAUGCCAUAUUAGGACGGUAGAUAAGGAGGAAGCCCCGGCUAACUACGUGCCAGCAGCCGCGGUAAUACGUAGGGGGCGAGCGUUGUCCGGAAUCACUGGGCGUAAAGGGCGCGUAGGCGGUCUGGUAAGUCAGUGGUGAAAACUGAGGGCUCAACCCUCAGCCUGCCACUGAUACUGUCAGACUUGAGUAUGGAAGAGGAGAAUGGAAUUCCUAGUGUAGCGGUGAAAUGCGUAGAUAUUAGGAGGAACACC
This 363-nucleotide ribosomal RNA is filed under the name uncultured Peptococcus sp. Its description in RNAcentral is "bacterial SSU rRNA". It matches the Rfam family "Bacterial small subunit ribosomal RNA", at positions 355 to 710 of the family's 1533-position model. Lineage: Bacteria; Bacillati; Bacillota; Clostridia; Eubacteriales; Peptococcaceae. The record is from RNAcentral.